AGAUUCAGAGGGGUAUCAUUUUGUUUGCGACAAAGCUGAUAGCGUUGCUAAGCAACGUUAGUGAUUUCCGUAACAUGAAGAGCGUCUAUUUACAAUCAGAUACCGGCUGAUUCCCAAUGGUGAAUCAGCCAACCGUAGGUCGGGCUCACAAGUGAAAGCGAAGGUGACGUACGAAGGACAACUGCUUUACUCAGCGUCAAAACAACGUCUCCGCAAUCAGUGCGGCGGAGUCGCGCUGCUGUGUUCAUUUGUUUGCCGGACUCGGCCCGUUAGAAUUGUGGAAAAAAAUUGUGGCUUUUAUUUCAUUCAACAGUACGCAUAAAGCAGUAUAAACAUAUUCUACACACUUCACCUUCUUUUCCUUACCUAGAAUUUUUGCCAUUUUAACUGGUGGAAAGUGCAUGCUUGCAUGUGCAAUUUUUUGAAUGAUCAGAUUCCUGCGUUUGGACCGCCGUGGUGCAGGUGUCAUGCCUUCAGGCUCUUCUAUAUUCUUCAUCGUUCCUACUCUUCUCCUGACAUUAUACCUCACGGGUCAGAAUGCUAAUCAUGCAUCAAAAGUGAUGAAUGAUUUUUUCAUCGUAACAUGGAGCGAGCUCAAACUGCCAACUGUGACCAAUUUUAACCGUCAAUUAUUACAAAAUAUUUGAAAGUCAAAUAAUAACGUGGGCACUUAAUGUUUUGGUAAAUAUUAAAAAUACUGAAAACAAUACUAUUCACCGUGGAAUUAAAUAGGAU
RNAcentral lists this long non-coding RNA (735 nucleotides) under Bemisia tabaci. Its description in RNAcentral is "lncRNA ENSSSA3NGG001510". The record is from RNAcentral. Lineage: Eukaryota; Metazoa; Arthropoda; Insecta; Hemiptera; Aleyrodidae.